GUUAAAAUAUCAGUUCCCGUACGAUCCCCGAAGUUAAGCAAGUUCGAGCCUGUUCAGCACCUAGAUGGGUGACCGCUUGGGAAUGCCAGGUGCUA
This is a non-coding RNA of Acanthosepion pharaonis, 95 nucleotides long. NCBI's taxonomy places the organism in Eukaryota, Metazoa, Mollusca, Cephalopoda, Sepiida, Sepiidae. The record is from the annotation of a GenBank genome assembly.